This 765-nucleotide long non-coding RNA is filed under the name Pongo abelii (Sumatran orangutan). RNAcentral describes it as "lincRNA". Lineage: Eukaryota; Metazoa; Chordata; Mammalia; Primates; Hominidae. The record is from RNAcentral.
GGCAUUGCUUACAGGGGUCACAGACAUUCAGAUCAUGGCAGAACUGUCACAGAUGUUACUUUGUGAAGACACAAAGAACAACGUGAUUGGAGAGAUCAGUCUUCAUUUAGCUAUAUUUUCUCGGAGCCUACCUUUACUUAGCCUCACAACAUGGGCCUUAGCUUUAGCACUUAAUCUGCACAAAUACCUCGCUUAAGUGUUAUAACUGACUGGCUAUUCAACCAAACCAUACAAAUGACCAAUUCGGUAAGAAAGCAUGAACUUCAGUGUUGAACCAAAUCAACUAACCUCCUCAAUCCAAAUGAACAAUGCUAUUCUAGGAGUCUGUGCUAGAAUAAAAUCCUAAUGCAAAGGCUGUCUUAAAAUGCUGAACCCAGAAGAAUUUGGCAUAAAUAAGACAUGGAGUUAGCUGACAUGAGAUAUUACAUUUAUUCCAUUGUUGACGAGGACAAAACUGGGCUGCUAUUGUCACAGGCUUGCAGAGCUCAAACCAUUACACCAUUCAGAAGCUGGCUUUGGUAUUACUUCAAGUUAUUCAAAACAGUCACCACUUGCUGAGCCUCUAAUGUCUCAUCUGUUGAAUGGAUUUCAAGAGAGAAGGCUGAAAAGGAAGGUGACUGGAAUAUUAAGAACUGUGAGAUAUUCUGAGGAAACUCUAAUUUGUAAAUUGGUAGAAAUGCCAGUAAUUUGUUGGGAAUUGAAGACCCUCUGUAUUCAAGAGCGAAGCUUGGCAGCUGUGCACUGUUGUUUUAUAAAUCAAUAUUA